This 497-nucleotide ribosomal RNA is filed under the name uncultured bacterium. RNAcentral describes it as "partial 16S ribosomal RNA". It matches the Rfam family "Bacterial small subunit ribosomal RNA", at positions 28 to 507 of the family's 1533-position model. The record is from RNAcentral.
GAUGAACGCUGGCGGCGUGCCUAAUACAUGCAAGUCGAGCGAACGGACGAGAAGCUUGCUUCUCUGAUGUUAGCGGCGGACGGGUGAGUAACACGUGGAUAACCUACCUAUAAGACUGGGAUAACUUCGGGAAACCGGAGCUAAUACCGGAUAAUAUUUUGAACCGCAUGGUUCAAAAGUGAAAGACGGUCUUGCUGUCACUUAUAGAUGGAUCCGCGCUGCAUUAGCUAGUUGGUAAGGUAACGGCUUACCAAGGCAACGAUGCAUAGCCGACCUGAGAGGGUGAUCGGCCACACUGGAGCUGAGACACGGUCCAGACUCCUACGGGAGGCAGCAGUAGGGAAUCUUCCGCAAUGGGCGAAAGCCUGACGGAGCAACGCCGCGUGAGUGAUGAAGGUCUUCGGAUCGUAAAGCUCUGUUAUUAGGGAAGAACAUAUGUGUAAGUAACUGUGCACAUCUUGACGGUACCUAAUCAGAAAGCCACGGCUAACUACGUG